Molecule: ribosomal RNA, 154 nt
Filed under: Escherichia coli
Lineage: Bacteria; Pseudomonadati; Pseudomonadota; Gammaproteobacteria; Enterobacterales; Enterobacteriaceae
Description: partial 23S ribosomal RNA
Rfam family: Bacterial large subunit ribosomal RNA (bases 1-136)
Source: RNAcentral
UGCCCCGAGAUGAGUUCUCCCUGACUCCUUGAGAGUCCUGAAGGAACGUUGAAGACGACGACGUUGAUAGGCCGGAUGUGUAAGCGCAGCGAUGCGUUGAGCUAACCGGUACUAAUGAACCGUGAGGCUUAACCUUACAACGCCGAAGGUGUUU